This is a long non-coding RNA of Esox lucius (northern pike), 578 nucleotides long. NCBI's taxonomy places the organism in Eukaryota, Metazoa, Chordata, Actinopteri, Esociformes, Esocidae. The record is from Ensembl.
GCUGACCAUUGUAGAAUUGACAACUCUCUGCUGAACAUUGAAACAAAACACAGCAUUGAGAGAAGAUAGAAAGAAUCUGAUCUAGAUUUCCAGUCUACCCUUAAAGAUGUUGACCGUGACCUCAGAGGCCAACUUAUAUGCAAGGCUAGAACUGAAUCAAGGGAGAGAGCAGAGUUCCUCCAUCUGAAAAGAAAAUAUCCAGAUGGGCAGGGCAUUGCCAUUAGACUGUCCAAGCAGGUAGCCAACUCCAACAAGAGACUGAGACAAGCAAUCAAGGAAUACAACAGUAUUCAGUGGCCACCGCAGAUGAGCAUCUUCCCUGCAAUUAUUGAUUUUCAGGAAGCAUGCGAUACCUCUUGGCUUGUCUACCUCUGCUCUGAUGACACUAUUGAAGAAGAUGAUGUUUCAAGGUGUCUGAAAAGGCGUGGAAUUGAUGCCUUAUAUAUGAGGACACGGGCAGCUGAGGAAAAGCACAUGCUUUACCAGGAAAUGAGAACUGUAACUGAACACCUCAAUCAGCAACAUCUCUGCCAUCAAUGAAACAGAGCAGCCUGGUGCAAAAGCUGCACUCAUUCAAC